UCGCCCAGGGAUGAGCCCGCGUCGGAUUAGCUAGUUGGUGGGGUAAAGGCCUACCAAGGCAACGAUCCGUAGCUGGUCUGAGAGGAUGAUCAGCCACACUGGGACUGAGACACGGCCCAG
Molecule: ribosomal RNA, 120 nt
Filed under: uncultured bacterium
Lineage: Bacteria
Description: partial 16S ribosomal RNA
Rfam family: Bacterial small subunit ribosomal RNA
Source: RNAcentral